This 448-nucleotide ribosomal RNA is filed under the name uncultured bacterium. Its description in RNAcentral is "SSU rRNA". It matches the Rfam family "Bacterial small subunit ribosomal RNA", at positions 26 to 518 of the family's 1533-position model. The record is from RNAcentral.
AGAGCGAACGCUGGCGGCAGGCCCAACACAUGCAAGUCGAGCGCCCGUAGCAAUACGGGAGCGGCAGACGGGAUAGUAACACGUGGGAACGCGCCCUUCGGUUCGGAAUAACUCAGGGAAACUUGAGCUAAUACCGGAUACGCCCUUACGGGGAAAGAUUUAUUGCCGAAGGAACGGCCCGCGUCCGAUUAGCUAGUUGGUGAGGUAAUGGCUCACCAAGGCGACGAUCGGUAGCUGGUCUGAGAGGAUGACCAGCAUCACUGGGACUGAGACACGGCCCAGACUCCUACGGGAGGCAGCAGUGGGGAAUAUUGGACAAUGGGCGCAAGCCUGAUCCAGCCAUGCCGCGUGGAUGAUGAAGGCCUUAGGGUUGUAAAGUCCUUUUAACGGGGAAGAUAAUGACGGUACCCGUAGAAUAAGCCCCGGCUAACUUCGCGCCAGCAGCCGC